GUUCGUGGAAGUCUGCGGACGAAAAGCGUAUCACACACCGGUACAGAAAGCGCUGUGUGUCUCGGCCUGUGGAAGGUGACCUGGUGUCGGCUGCACCUCACCUUUUCAAGAAAAAUCGCAAUGCUGACUUUUCUCCGCGUUAUCUCGCUUCCCACUGUUCUCGCAUUUCUCUUCGCGGCUCUCGCUAGGUUCUUUCAAGGUGUAGAAAGCGUGGAAAACGCCGAGAACGGACGACCGGAUUUCUGUGCCGUGUCACGGAGCGGCGUUCUGCCGGGGUAAGGGAGUCUCCUCGUUCGCGCCGGAGAAAGGGGGAGAAAUGCACUCUCGACGCUCGUCAAAGUACUCAAACGUUCAUCUCCGCGCGAUGUCACGAGUCUUCUAUUUCAAACAAAGACGAAACGGCAGCCUGUGGUUUAUUCGACCACUCGGAACUGCCCUGCCUCCCAAGAUACUUUCCUCGCGUCCAACCGCUUCCAGACACUUCGUGGAACAGGACGGAGUUGCUUUUUAACCGCCUCUUUUUCCCUCGUUUCGUCUUUGCUGAUUUCCAACCUUCUCUUUCCUCGCUCUCGCGGCCUUGUUCUCUGUCGACCCCAGACUGAAGGAGGCCUUCGUUUCUCCUCGCCAGUGUGAGUCCUUAGUUCCUCUUUUUCGCAUUUUCCAGACGGACUCUGCUUCUCUGCUCAGAAUAACCGUUUGCUCUUUCCAGUCUUCUGAAAAAGCCAAGCCAGUGAAGGCGGGAGAGUCUUCCAACCUCGAGAUUUCCCUCAUUCCGGUGAGGGGUGCUGUCCCCCUGUCCACAGCUGUACCUCUCGCGUUUUUCAAAAGCCAUGAUUUUUCGUUUUCCGUCAGUGGAAUCGCGCACGCGUCUGCAUCCUGUUCGGUUUGCGGCAGGUUCGCUGUCUUUCCUCGAUCCGCUUUGAGAGAGCCGUUCUUUCCCCACAGUAAAAGCGAAAAGACGAGAAGCAGUGUCUGGGAACAGGCGCGCCUAAGUUGCGACAUAUGAAAUGGAUUUCGUUCCG
Molecule: long non-coding RNA, 1022 nt
Filed under: Toxoplasma gondii VEG
Lineage: Eukaryota; Apicomplexa; Conoidasida; Eucoccidiorida; Sarcocystidae
Source: RNAcentral